CUGACUGUGCUAAGGUAGCAUAAUAAUUAGUAAUUUAAUUGAUUACUAGGAUGAAUGGUCUGACGAAAGAUAAAUCUUCUUAAAUUUAAUAGAAAUUGAUAUGUAGGUAAAAAAGCCUACCAACAAUAGAUAGACGAUAAGACCCUAAAACCUUCAUUAGUUUAAUAACUUUUUACUGGGGCGGUAAAUAAUUAAGCAUAAUUUCUCAAAACAUUAUGAAUGAUAUUUAAUAACUUCUGAUAAACACAAAAAGGUACUUUAGGGAUAACAGCAUAAUUAUUAUUUAGAGUAAACCUAUCGACAUAAUAGAUUAUGACCUCGAUGUUGAAUUGAUAAUACUUCACUAAGCAGAAAUAGUGAUUGCAGGUCUGUUCGACCUUUAAUUUAUCACGUGAUCUGAGU
RNAcentral lists this ribosomal RNA (402 nucleotides) under Proporcellio vulcanius. Its description in RNAcentral is "partial 16S ribosomal RNA". It matches the Rfam family "Bacterial large subunit ribosomal RNA", at positions 1942 to 2610 of the family's 2925-position model. The record is from RNAcentral. Lineage: Eukaryota; Metazoa; Arthropoda; Malacostraca; Isopoda; Porcellionidae.